RNAcentral lists this long non-coding RNA (858 nucleotides) under Homo sapiens (human). RNAcentral describes it as "HSALNT0341542". The record is from RNAcentral. Lineage: Eukaryota; Metazoa; Chordata; Mammalia; Primates; Hominidae.
AUUGGCGGGUUCCGGGACUGGUGGCUGCGGUAGCUCAUUGGCCUUUGGUCUCUUAGACGGUGGAGAAUAAUCAUCAUCUUGAAAAAGAAAAUGGUCAUUACUGGAAGAACCAUCUUACAGUUACAGUCACCUCCUGGUCAAUUCCCAACAUUCAAAAGCUAAAGAAACAGGCUCAGAGGAUGUUAUUUGAUUGGACUAUGUUGUAUCUCUGGAGAGCACAGCUGAGAUCAGACUGUGUGUGUGUAACUCCACUAGACUACGAGGGUGCUUCUCAUAAAGGGUUGCAAGAUCAUAGUUCUCGGGGUGUUUAAAGGCAACACCUUCCGGAAGCCCCUGCACUACCACAGCCGACUGGUCUCGCAGCAUCUUCUCAUAUGGUACAGGUACCACUGUGGAUUUGCCUAAAGCUUUCCCUGGGGCAGAUGAAAAGCGGAUGAACAUCAUUCAAUGUGCAGGCCUACCCAACUAUGGAAUGAUGGAACAGAAGGCCUCACCAUGGACUCGAGAGCUGACAUGAGGAAUGUCACCACCAUCCUGCUCUCCGAGGACUCCUCAUCUUCAACGGGGAGGGUGGACAUUGCAACUUGGGCCAUGAUCCCUGUGCAGGAGAAGUAAGAAGAAAGUGAGUGGUAGAAAUCUGGUGUCCUGAACCCACAGCCAAAGCUGUGAGGGCCCCUCACCGGCUGCCUAAUUUACAGUUUUCUUGCUCUAGAGACAAAAUAAGGCUCAGAAACUAAGUAUUUGACUUGCCCAAACCCUCAUAAGAUAAAGAAUCUAUCCCCUAAUUUUCUAUAUAUUGUUAUUUCCAGAAAAUUGGGUCAAUAUCACACCCCAAAUAAAUCCAGGUGGCACCCAGAA